CGUAAAUUGGUUCGGUGUAUCACGUGACAACUUGGCGGUUUCAAAAUUAAUGUGGUGGAUGCUGGCAAAAUAACAAUUAGAAAAGAUGUCUCACUUAAACAUGACAUACCCAAAGAAGAAGAGGAAGAGAUCAGUUACUGGCAAUCCUCCCGAAUUGCCACAGAAUACUUGUGUCUUUUGUCGUUCGACUGAAGACUGUGAAGAGGAUUAUGGGAAGGUCAUUAAGAAAUGUGGUUUCACUGUCCACUACUUCUGCAUGCUGUUUGCGAGUGGCCUCAGCCAGAGUGGCAAGACAGAAACACAAGGAAUCUUUGGCUUCAUGCCAGGAGACAUUCGACGCGAGCUCAAGAGAGGCAAUAGGCUGCGCUGCACCUACUGCAAGGAGAGGGGGGCAACUAUCGGCUGCGUGGUCACAUCAUGUCGCAAGGCAUUCCACCUGACUUGUGGCCGCAAGAAGGGAUCACUGCAUCAGUUCUACGACUCCUUCAGGUCCUACUGUCCCGAUCACCGGCCGCGCCAGACUGUGCAGAUCAGCGACCGCCUGGCGUUUGUAGGGACAGCGAACACUGUGUGCAGCAUCUGUAUGUACGCUGUCGUAGCCCGCUCCUCCCACGAGACCAUGAGGGCACCCUGCUGCAAGAACUCCUGGUUUCACCGCUCCUGCAUACAGAGAUAUGCUAUGUCUGCUGGUCUGUAUUUCUUCAAAUGUCCGCUGUGCAACAGCAAGGACUUGUUCCAGUCGGAGAUGCUUCAUUGUGGCAUAUACAUCCCUGAUCAAGAUGCAUCAUGGGAGCGAGAGCCAAAUGCCUACCAAGAUCUGUAUGAGAGAUACUCCCACUGUGAUGCUGCCAAGUGCAAGUGUCUGCAAGGGCGAGAUUAUGACCAAGAUGACACGAAGUGGGAGAUCAUAGUCUGUGAGUACUGUGGCUCCAAGGGCAGCCAUGCCGCCUGUCGGGGCCUGGAACUUAUACGCAAAGAAUACGCCUGUGGAGAGUGUGCAGAGAUCGAGAAGAAAAGAGUUAAAAAACGUGGAAAGAAGAGCCCACCUCGAGUUCGGAACAGAACCCAAGCCGAACUUCAACACCUUUUGGAAGUGAGGGUUGCUGAACUUGUCACACAAAAAUCCAACCAGAAUACACCCAAUUCUAAACAGCCAACACCUAAAUCUAAAGCCGGCACGCCCUCCCUUGGUUCUCUGCGGUCAGUGCGGCGGUCAAGGAGAGAUCAACGUGGAGAUGUUGUGGUCAUGCAGCAGGAAGGAACAGACGCUGAGGUGGACGUGGAGGGUUUGGGGAGUGACGAAGAUCCCUCAUCCUCAGAAACUCCUGCCAUGAAGAAAAGACGACUCAGUUUGCAACGGUCAUCUCGAUCCCAGACUAAGAGAAUAGGAAGACAUAUUGGCACCAUGAGCAGUGAUUCACGUUCGUCGAGUAUUCCUAGCACAAGGGGAAAGUAUUCUAAUUAUGUAACUCUGUCGACAGUGACAGACACGGAGGUGAGGAAGUGGGGUACAACAGAAACAGAGUCGUCCAACUCUGCAUCCUUGCUCAAUUACAUGGAUGAUAGUGACGAUGUGUCGCAGACAUCGGACAGUGACAGUGAGAUCUGUGCAGUGGAUGAAGUACACGAGGACUCCACGAAGAAGACAGUGACCAUCAAAUGGAAAGGGAAGAAGAUCAAAAUCUACAAAGAAGUGGAGAAGGAUGACAGUGAGGAUAUAUCCAAAUGGAGUCUUCAUCUGGAGGUGGGUGACUCGGAUGACCUUCAACCCUCCACAUCCCAGACGCCACCGCCAGACGGAGGGAAGGUCAAGGAGGAGUCACCCCCUCAACUUGUUCCAAUAGAUGAUGAAAUAACCAUCCGAUGCACGCCUCCAACCCGACCGUACAUGCUGAAUGUGAAAGCUAACUCGGUCAAACAGCAGACGGACAAAAUCAAGGGAGAAGAUGUAAAAUGUGAGGAAGCUCCACCUGUUCUGUAUUCUGUUUGGGAGGAGGAUUCUCAGACAGGGGGCAGUCGAAUUACACGCAGCAUGUCUGUCGAUAGCAAAAAUAGUUGCAGCCAAGAUUAUAUUGACUCUAUUGACAUCAUGUCACGUAAUUCAAACACACCCAGACAUUCAAGAAGGUCGCUAGAAUGUGCCUUUACUUCUCAUGAUAAUCGAUCCAAGUCGCCCUGUUUGGGUAAAAGAUUCCGUGAGAAUGAUGCUGAGAGUAUUUCAUCAGCAGCCAACUCAGUCAUCACCUUGUCCUCAAAUGUGAGUGAUACUGGUGAGAACGAAAGUGACUGCCUGAUAGUCGAACCUGUGUAUGUGACCGAGAACCAACGAAACGUGUCGGACGGUAAGGUGUCCUAUUCAGCACAGAUUGCCGUGGGGAGUCCAUUCAAGGAUGGGGAGUACCCCGAGACUGUGCCUUACCGCCGGAUUACAACAGGGCAUGGCAGUGUAGGCGUUGUGAUAGACUUGACUGACAGUCCGUCCGAGACAUGGCUCGGCUUUGCUGAUACUGAUAACUCAUCGAGAUCAAACAGGUCAUCGUAUUCAUAAUUAGUCAGGAACUUUUAGAAACAUUGAUAGUUGAACUAUUCAGUGAAGUGAUGAUCAUUACAGUUGUCAUGGUAAUAUGCACAUAGAUGACGUUCUUGAAAUUGUAGGCCAGCCAAGUCUGUGGCUCUUGGACAGUAAAAUCAUCAGCUUACUUUGUUUCAUGGACGAAAACUAGAAGUUCUGAUACUGACUCAGAUUUUGGGUGGGAAUAAUUAUAAGGAAAUAAAGCCGUUGGGUUCUCAGGCCUCGUGCAUCAGGGAAACACAUGGGCAUCAAGAUCAUUUGUAAUCUGCGGUAAGACCUACGAGGGAACACUGAACCUCUGGAAGCUCCAGAGGUUAGGACAAAAGUCAGAAAGUUUUAUUCUGAGAACCAGUUUUUAUUUUUUUAAACUUUAAUUAGGUUCAUGGUAAUGUAGUUGUACCGCACAAGACUUCUUUUAUUAAAAGAUGUGUAGAAAAAUAUAAUUGCUUGCCAAUUAGCCUCAGUUAAAUUAUCCAUGUAACCAUGGUAACUAUGGUGUAAUGGAACCAGUUUAGAUUUUUGGUUUGACCCAGGGUUCCUGAUGGUCACAUUUGUUUUCAUUUCUCCACUGGGUGGAUUGUCUGCAAGAACUGCUGAUGUGGUAUUUAGCCAAAUGCUCUGACUUCAGUGACACAAGAUAUAAUUGACUCUAGCUUUCAGUGAGAGGUGUUUUGUGUAUUUUGAAACAAAGCAAAAUUUUGUAUUCAUUCAUCUUGAAACACAGGCUAGAUGUGUGUGUGUUGACAGAUGUCGUCGUUUAUUCUCUUUGUGUUUACUGCAAGGUACCGCUUCUUUUUUUAUAUUGAAAAAGAAAGGUUUAAAUACUAAGUUUUACAUUAUUGCAUUGCAUGCAUGCAGAAAUACAUGUAAAUUUAAGAAUGUAACAACAUUAACAAGAUUUAAAAAGCCCUGUAAAUGAAUUUUGGACAUUAUUGUUUUUUACAGUUUUUGUUGCCACUGGCACUUCGUAUAUAGAAAUAUCCAUGGCAGAUGUAUAGAGAAGGUUGUCCAGUCUUUCAUGGAGCAGGGUUUAAUAGAUUAAACAUUGCAUCUUUUUACCUAGAAAAAGUACAUGUAUUAGAACCGGUGUUAUAAUGCUAAAGUGACUGAAUAUAUUUCGGUUAUAUUCCUUUUUUCUCCUGAUAUGUCGGAGUGAUACUAUUGGGUUUCCUGAGCUGACAUUUUCAGAAGGAUGUCCAAAUAUUCACAAUAUUUGUUGACAAUGAUGAUUUUACAAUGCUGUGCAAGUUUCUCACAUAUUUCAAAGAGUUUGUUUCCACUCCCUGCGGAAUGGCAGUUGGCUUUGAACGACUACACAGCUUCUAUAUUGUAUGCUUUCAUCAAUGUAGUUUCGUGUACAGUCAGUAUAUUUAUUUUUUGGAAAUGGCUGAGUAUUUGUUGUAGCCCUCGUGGAAGUAAUGUUGAAUAAUUCUUGUAUUGAUGGAUGCCGUUUUCUCCGUAUUUGACACCCUGUACCAAUAAGUGCCCCCGACCAACUUCUAGACCAAUCUGUGAGUAAUCUAUAGGUGCUCCCUACUAACAGUAAAUAGUUUUGUGAUAGUCUGUAUUUUCUUCAGAUUUCUGAAGGUGUAGAAGGAUAUAUAAUCGCCUGAUGACUUAUCAAAAAAGUUUUUUAAGUUUUGGUGACGUUGGACCUAAGUUUGUUCACUACCAUUCGAUCUCUGAAGAUAAAUUGGGGGGCAUGGGUGGCCCAGUCGCUGUGCAGAGUUGUGUCCCUUGGGCACGCCAGAAACCUAUGAUUGUGUGUUCGAAUCUCGGUUCGCCCCGAUUAUGUUUCUAGGUUUGUCAGCACCAUACCCGUGCUCGUAGGUUUCACCAAAGUGGUAAAUGUCUGAGACCUGCAUCACUUCGGGCUUUCCUCCCUUUUUAAUACUGUUAAAAGCGGUGUUAAACCCAACUCACUCACUCGCUGAGCAUAAAUUGAGCUUCUUAGUUUUGGUUUUAAAAAACACACUCCUUUGUCAAUUUUCCAAGCCCCCCAAGGUGCUUAUUUUGGUAAAUACAGUAAUGUUUAAAAAGCUGGAAAUUUUGGUGAGCUACAGAACUUCUUUGCUGUAUUUUCAUUAUAGUUUUGGGACAAUAUGCAUCCUUUUUUAAAGGACCGGGUAGAAUAAGGGCCUUUUUGGACCACAAGAUGUACAUGAUUUAAAAAUUGAGGAAAACUUGAGAAAUUGUUAUGAAAGUUUAUCAGGUAUGUUCACAUGAAUGAGAACUAAACUUUGUUCAGUGAAACAACUGCAUGUUUGCUUCACAACAGUCAUUUCAUAAGAGGAUAAAAUGUGUUAUUGAGGCUGAUUUUAGAGGCUUCCAUGAGCAAAUCUUUGACCUAAGGUGAUUUUCAUAGAUGUGCAGAAGAACAUAAGUCAUGGUAAAAAAGUAAUCUUGGGUCACAGACUUGCUUGUACUUUGCCAUGUCUUGCUCUCGUUUUAGCCAUAUUUGUGUAUUUGACCAGGUCAGCUGUCCAGAACAUGCAAGUGUAAGAAAGAAAAAGGCGAGUUGUCAGCUGUUUGAACAUGGGUGAUACAAUUUCAUACCAUUGUUUCAAAGUUUUCAGCAACUUUAAAAUUUAACAUUGUUGUAGACCAAAAAGUGCCCUUAUCCUACCUCCUUUACGAUAUUAUGUCUUUCUUUAUGAUAGAUGCUUUCCAAUAUGUUAAACAGUUUCUGUCAUGUUCAUCUUGCAAUCAUAUUUUAAGUCGGUUUCAGCAAAUAUGCUGGCGUUGAUAGUGAUUAUGAAACAACAGCUGGUAUUGUAACCACAGUGUUUAUCACACACCUAUCGUGUCUCUAUAUCCGGUUUAUCACAUACCUAUCGUGUCUCUAUAUCCGGUUUAUCACACACCUAUUGUGUCUCUAUAUCUGGGUUAUCACACACCUAUCAUGUCUCUAUAUCCGGGUUAUCACACACCUAUCAUGUCUCUAUAUCCGGUUUAUCACACACCUAUCGUGUCUCUAUAUCCGGGUUAUCACACACCUAUCAUGUCUCUAUAUCCGGGUUAUCACACACCUAUCAUGACUCUAUAUCCGGGUUAUCACACACCUAUCAUGUCUCUAUAUCCGGUUUAUCUACACCUAUCAUGUCUCUAUAUCCGGUUUAUCACACACCUAUCGUGUCUCUAAAUCCGGUUUAUCACACACCUAUCGUGUCUCUAUAUCCGGGUUAUCACACACCUAUCAUGUCUAUAUCCUGUUUAUCACACACCUAUCAUGUCUCUACAUCAUGUAUAUCACACACCUAUCGUGUCCCUAUAUCCGGUUUAUCACACACCUAUCAUGUCUCUGUAUCCUGUUUAUCACACAGCUAUUUGUCCCGUAUAUCACACACCUGUUACUCUUUCCUAUAAGCGAAGCUCAUUUCUGGUGCCCCCGCCGGGAUAUUGCUGGAAUAUUGCUAAAAGCGGCCGAAAACCAUACUCACUCACUCACUGCUAGUUCUUGGGGUACAAUUGAAUGUUUUGUUUUCUUUAAAUUUCUUAGUGUUAUGUUUACUUUGGUGAUCAACUUUUGUCUCAGUUUAGAAUCAGAAUUUGAAUUCAGCUUUGCUCUCUUUUGUUUCGUGAUUAUUAUUUGGUUCAGUGAUUAUUUACUACAGCAUCAGCAUCAGCAUCAGCAGCACGGUUUUUUUAUCGUUUGGCCUGGCAUUGGUUGACCAAGAAAUAAACUCAGUCUGUUUGAACUGAAAGAUUUUACUACUACACCAGAAAAUGAAUUGAUUUCUUACAAA
This 6318-nucleotide unclassified non-coding RNA is filed under the name Haliotis rufescens (red abalone). RNAcentral's name for it is "uncharacterized LOC124146677, transcript variant X1". Lineage: Eukaryota; Metazoa; Mollusca; Gastropoda; Lepetellida; Haliotidae. The record is from RNAcentral.